UACGGAGGGUGCGAGCGUUGUCCGGAAUCACUGGGCGUAAAGGGCGCGUAGGCGGUCCGGUAAGCGCGUGGUGAAAGCCCGGGGCUCAACCCCGGGUCGGCCGUGCGGACUGCGGGACUGGAGCACUGUAGAGGCAGGCGGAAUUCCGGGUGUAGCGGUGGAAUGCGUAGAGAUCCGGAAGAACACCGGUGGCGAAGGCAGCCUUCUGGGCCAACACUGACGCUCAUGCACGAAAGCGUGGGAGCAAACAGG
This 252-nucleotide ribosomal RNA is filed under the name uncultured bacterium. RNAcentral's name for it is "partial 16S ribosomal RNA". It matches the Rfam family "Bacterial small subunit ribosomal RNA", at positions 524 to 776 of the family's 1533-position model. The record is from RNAcentral.